GUUUGGGAAGAAGGGGAAGCUCAGUCCCCGAUAUGCCGGACCUUACUUGCACUACCAGAAAUUGGGUCUAUGGCAACGAAACUUUUGGCGACGAUUGCAAAUGCGUUGCUAUAGACUAUCUAUGGCAAUGCUUCCAACUGUUGCCAUAAAUAAAUAGUUGUAUUGCUACGACUUAGCGCUAUGACCGUCACUAUUGAAAAUGAACCAUUGCAAUAGGUAUAUGUACAACAAUGAUGUUGGAACUGUUGCUAUAAAAACAUCUAUGGUAACACUUAGUGAAAAAAUUAACCGUUGUAAUAGAUAAUUAGUAAUUCCCUCCGUAAUUUUUCACACAUGGUCCGCCAAUUUUUUUUUUCACUUCAUCAAAACAUGUUUUAUCUUUCUCAAUAGAACAAAAGGUUAAGCUAAAACCCCAAUUUCUCUUGCUGUUUCAAACAAACAAGCUCUUCGCAGCUCGUAAUAAAGCUCUAUUUCUCUUGCGAUUUCAAACACACAAGAUCCGAGUGCGAUUGUGAAAUUUUCUUAAACAACAAGCUUUCAAAUCUCAUAGUGAAAUUUCGAAGGUGAAAUUUCAAGCUCUUAGUGAAAUUAAUCUUAUGGCAAACAACAAUCUUCCCUGAACAGUAAUCUGUUAGGGAAAUUUUGACCUCUUAGUGAAAUUUUGAUCCAUUUAGAGCUAUCAAUCUCAUAGUGAAAUUUCGAGCAGGAAUCUGUUAGUGUUUUUUGGUGUUUCGGAGCUAACCCAUUUGCUGUUUUGGAGUAUUCUUCUUUAAUUUGGGGAUUUUAAGGUAUAAAAAGAUGGAGGCAUGUGUAACUCCAUAUCCUGAAACAACUAAUUCAGAUCAAGUUUCUGGGGAAGACCUCAAGCCAUUUUUGGAGAGACUUAAUGUUAUUCCUCCAAGAAUAGCAAGUGGAUCUUUUCCUGGAGUCUCUGUUGAAUCAUUCCAGGAGGACAACAAGUUGUGGAAAAAGCAUGGAAGGCUAGGAGGUAUCAUAAUGCUAAGUUGCUCGGACUCUUCAAAAAAUGUCUACAGAUACUUGUCGGAUCCUUCAAAAAUAGUGUAUUUUUGAAGGAUCCGACACAAGUGCGGCAAUAUUUUUGGAGAGUUUGAGCAACUUAGUCGCAAUGUACUAGAUAUGAAUGUUGACCUAGGAAGUUUUGCUGCAGCACUAGAAUCAUCUAAGGCAUGGAUCAUUAAUUUUAUGACAACUAUAGAUGAAAGGAACACUCUUGGUGUAAUAUAUGAUCGAGGCCUAAUUGGCAUAUACCAUGACUGGUAACUAUAUAAAACUCUUAUCAUAUUUUCUCAUUGCUCUCUAGCAUUAAUUUCCCUCUUUUGUCUUAAUUUUCACGACAGUAAGUUGUAAAUGAAUAAGUAAAUAUAAAAAUGUUGUGGAAA
Molecule: long non-coding RNA, 1400 nt
Organism: Capsicum annuum
Lineage: Eukaryota; Viridiplantae; Streptophyta; Magnoliopsida; Solanales; Solanaceae
Exons: 2
Source: RefSeq, a predicted model, not a curated record